RNAcentral lists this ribosomal RNA (481 nucleotides) under uncultured bacterium. RNAcentral describes it as "bacterial SSU rRNA". It matches the Rfam family "Bacterial small subunit ribosomal RNA", at positions 28 to 507 of the family's 1533-position model. The record is from RNAcentral.
GACGAACGCUGGCGGCGUGCCUAACACAUGCAAGUCGAGCGAGAAGCUUUUGAACGAUCCUUCGGGUGAGUGAUAAAGUGGAAAGCGGCGGACGGGUGAGUAACGCGUGAGUAAUCUGCCUUAAGGAGGGGGAUAACACAGAGAAAUCUGUGCUAAUACCGCAUAAUAUGUAUCUUUCGCAUGUUAGAUACAUCAAAACUCCGGUGCCUUAAGAUGAGCUCGCGUCCGAUUAACUAGUUGGUGAGGUAAUGGCUCACCAAGGUUACGAUCGGUAGCCGGACUGAGAGGUUGAACGGCCACAUUGGAACUGAGACACGGUCCAGACUCCUACGGGAGGCAGCAGUGGGGAAUAUUGGGCAAUGGGCGCAAGCCUGACCCAGCAACGCCGCGUGAAGGAAGAAGGCUUUCGGGUUGUAAACGUUCUUUUGUCAGGGACGAAGCAAUGACGGUACCUGACGAAUAAGCCACGGCUAACUACGUG